This 241-nucleotide long non-coding RNA is filed under the name Lathyrus oleraceus (garden pea). RNAcentral describes it as "Pisum sativum (pea) long non-coding RNA (PSAT_LNC026343)". Lineage: Eukaryota; Viridiplantae; Streptophyta; Magnoliopsida; Fabales; Fabaceae. The record is from RNAcentral.
UUUUUCCUCUCCCUUAUUUCUCUUGUUUUCUUCUAUCUUUCACCAUUUCUCUUACUCCUUUCAAAAUUCCAAACCACACAAACUCUUUUUCUUCUUUUUUUUUCAAAGGUAUGUAUUAAAUUUAUUUUAUUUAAUUUUUCUACAAUGUGUGAUUUUGAUCUUAUUUUCUUUUUAUUACAUUGUUUGAUUUUUAUCUUAUUUCCCGUAUUUCUUUUGUUAAUCAAGGAUAAGGCUCAAAAAG